Long non-coding RNA from Papaver somniferum (opium poppy), 3417 nucleotides. RefSeq lists it as uncharacterized. The record is from RefSeq and is a predicted model, not a curated record. The transcript has 2 exons. Lineage: Eukaryota; Viridiplantae; Streptophyta; Magnoliopsida; Ranunculales; Papaveraceae.
UUUUUUCUUAGGCCGUGUUCAUUUGAACUCAGAGAGGCUUGAUUCUCACGAAUCAAGAGAGUUUUAUCCUCAAUCUAUCUACAUAAUCUUGUCAUCGUACUCAGGUACAUGACAAUUGGUAUCUAGAAUCGUUUCGAUUCCGCUAGUUUCUUCAGUGGAGGUUGCAGAUUUGGACAAGUCUUAUCCAAUGGAAUUCACUGAAAUUGAAUUAUUAUCGCAGAAGAUUUAUAGUUUGGGAAGAUUUCAAGUUGUAGUGUCAGAGAAGCUGGAGGGUGAAUUUAUUCGACCUCCUAAGCAGGUACUGCAUGGACGAUUUUUUUUUCAAGAGAAAUAGAGGAUAUCCUAGCGAUGGAACGUAGGCUAUGUGUUGAGAAUUCGGCUAAAAGUCUUGGAUUACUUCAAUCGGUGGUUAAACAAUUGAAUAUGAUGAAGACAUAUAUUUCCGCCAACACAGAAUCAACCCUUAUUGAUGCAGAUACAACAAGGAAUUUCACUCAGAACUCUUCAAUUCCAUCAGAAGAAGAUGAUGAUUGUCUCGAUUUCAAUUUGCUUAUUCCUUCGUUAGGGGUGAAUUUUCACCCUAUAGAAGUUAGGGGUACUGACAGUAGUUGUGAGAAACAUCAAAGCUUGAAGGAGCUGGUCAUUAAUCACCACAUGCUAUUGAGUAAGGAUUGUUCACCCAUUCUUUCUGAUUAUUCUCGUAGCAUAUUUGAUCAUGGUAAGUAUGCAGAUAUACCACCCAAUGGUUGUAGAAAAUUGAUUCUCCUAUUGAUUCUUAGCCCUGGGUUUAAAUCAGAUUUGGGGUUUACAGAUUCGAUAAUUCCUUUGUUAAUUAUGCUAAAGUUCAUGUGGAUGAGAAGUUGUUUGUUAAAAUGCCUGAGAGUAUAGCUUGUCAUUUGGGCAGUGACAAAGAUGAUUUUCUUGUGCUACAUAAAAGAAGUAAGAUGAGUAACAAGUUACUAAUAUAUGAAUGUCUCUUCAUGGAUAUGAAUUUUGCUCGACGGAUAUAUGAUCGUGGCAAAGUGUUCGAUUUCUUUAAAGGAUAUUUUUCUUUUGUUGUCACUUAUAAAUUUGGAACUAAUACUGUUACAUCUUGUAAGCUGGUUCUCGUUGGGUCAAUUCUAAUGGAGAAAUACAAAGAGGAACUCCUUUAUGAGCUUGUUUUGAAACAUGAUUCCCAAAUAGAAUUGUUGGUGGAUACCUGGAUUAUAUUCGUGUUCAUGAUUGUUUCGAAUGGUAUGAGUACUAAGAUGAUUGUUGCAUUGUCAGAGAGAAAUAUAUUUUUGUCUCUCUUGUUGGCCAUAGUGGUAAGCAAUAAGAAGUUCACUUUCUGUGCUUAAAGAGUGAGGCAACUCACAUAAUAGCAACUGAGUUAUAUUUCCAACUGCUUAGAGUCUUGGAUUCCGCCAGUGAUCAUGAAUACUCUUGUUGUAUUCCACCCUGGAGUUUGAAUAUAAGGGAAGAAGAUAUGUCUACUUCUGCAAAGUUUUUUCGGGUGGACUUAUUCAAGGUUAUGAUUGAUAGACAAGAAGGUGAUGUGCACCAGAUUCUUUUGUGUGAGUCUCAAAAAAUUUCAGUGCUUAUAUUCUCAGCUCACACAAUUGCUAGAACUCGUUUAUAUCUUUUAAGAAUCGAUACUUAUCCACUUUCUUCUAAGGUGUAUGGAGGAUAUAUGAUUCAAGAGAAAGUUCUGUUGCAAGUGUUUCAAUCCAACUGUAGUUGAUACAUUUACCCUGUAUCUUCUUUUACGUUGCAACCAACUGGCAGAGACGACUUAUAGCUCGACUCAUUUCCUUGCAAGGAUAGUGAAAACUCAGUUUAUGCUCCUGGCAAUUCAAAUGCUACAUGGGAGGCUGGUGGAGUUCUUGAGGUGAAAGUUCAAAUUGGUUCCACCUGAAUUGGGGAGUAUGGUAAAUUGUACCAGUACUAUCGGUUGUAGAUUUGUUGUUUGAUGGAGGAAACUACUUUGCAACUGAAGCCUCUAAGCAACUGAAGAUCACGUUUACUGAUGAGAUUGAAACUACUUUACAGGUAAUAUUACUCACUAGUCACAAACUGUUAAAUGACGAAUGUUCUACCAUUAUCAUCCACUCUUCUCGUAAUAUAUUCGAUCGAAGCAAGGAAUUAUAUAUUGUGAAGGGGUUUUCUUAUCUUGCUGGUGAUUGUGACUUCUACCUUGAUACAAAUACUUCUUGUGUGAAUGUUAUUUAUGAAUCGAUUUUUCUAGAUUAUUACAAUGGGAUAACGGAAUCUCAACUCAAGCUCAUGGUGGUUCACAAUCCAACUGAGCUAGUGUUGCUGGUUUCUUUGUGGAGGAUAUUUGCACAUAUGGUAUUCCGACCAUAUGAGAGGAGAUGUAUAUUCGUAUGUUAUUUGAUCGAAGUAAGAGGUAUGUGCCUGGAUUAUUGGAGAGCUACUUAGUAAGUUUUGGGUGAACCAGUUCAAUUGUAUUACAGAACGGUAAGAAGGUAACCGAUGGGUGGGUUUAUAAGCAAGGGUAUCGUUCCAAUUCAUUGUCUCAAGCCUCGAUUGGUCUUAUGCUGGCUAAUGGUCCAAUGUGGGAUUUUAUUUAUCCACCAAAGAAGGUUUUGAGCUCGCCAAAACUCCUUGCAGGAAUGAAAUGGAUUUGGUUCAUGCUCACCGUGCUUCAUGUUUCAAAAGUGUGGAUGAUUGUAACCUUCCGGUGGUGGAAAUUUGAAUGGUUUUCUACAGGUUCACUGAGUGCAGGAAAUAUUAGUGGGGUUAACAUGGGAUUAACAUCAGUUGGGUGCUCUGACAUGUACUGGUGUUCUAGAACCCAUCUACCAGUUCUGAGCUGCAGUCCAGCAGAAACUACAAAAAAUUAUCUGGAAAUAUUGCAAGCUGACAUUGAGGCGAACUCCAAGGUGAUCAGUGUUGGUUAUAUUUGGCUCGUUUAUGCGAUAUCCGCUAGAGAAGUUCACUUCUUCCUGGGAAGAUUUGACUACACACAAGCUGAAGAUACUAGAACAUUUCAAUCAUUUAUCUUUCUAAUCAGUUCACAGGGAAUUGGUAGGUGGACUGUUAAGCCUAGUGCGAAAGUGUUCAACGACAUCACAUGAGUUUUUAUUCUGAUCCGCGACUCUCCAGCACUCGAGCUUAUUCAUUUUAACUCACAUCCUUGAGGACAAGGAUGUUUUCAAGGGGUAGGUAAUGUCACGUGCGUUCUAUAUGUGAGAGGGUGCCCAUAUCAUGUUACUUGUGAGCCUUUAGUAGUAGUUAUGAUUGGAAGUAUUUAGUGUAGGAGUGAGUGUGUUUAUCAGUGUAAGGCACGGUUAGAUGAGAACCACCUGGUGGCUAUCUGGCCGUGGAUCCUAGGGUAGUAAAUGAGAGUUAUAUAUUGUCCUGUGUUUGUAACGGAAAGACUAUAAAAUUAUUAAUCAAUUGGAACUUUGUUCU